This 414-nucleotide long non-coding RNA is filed under the name Phoenix dactylifera (date palm). Its description in RNAcentral is "long non-coding RNA (PDAC_LNC015207)". The record is from RNAcentral. Lineage: Eukaryota; Viridiplantae; Streptophyta; Magnoliopsida; Arecales; Arecaceae.
GAAAAAGAAGGAGAGGAAAGGAAAGGAAGAAAGGAAGAGGAAAGGAAAGGAAGAAAGGAAGAGGAGAGGGAUCCCGGUUGCACUUCCAGCUGAAGGGAAAAACGUAGAUCUCCUUCCCCUCUACGCAAGGACCUCGAUUUCCAAAAAGAAAAAGGUAAAUAUCCGUCUCUAUCUAGUCUUUUGAUGACAUUAGGCUAUACAAAGGGUGGAUAUAGUCUAGAGGGGUCGGAUAAGGGUUGUAGAGGCGGUUAAAAGAGGAAGAAUCGGAUUUUGACAAAUUUUUCCGGCACUACGGAAAAACUGUGUCGAAGUUCCAACUUUGGUGAAUUAUUUUGGAGGUCAAUCGGCCUCCGAUGGGGAUGCAUGUUACCAUUUUGGAAACCCCAAUGAGUGUAGAACAUUGGGUAUAAAUUU